RNAcentral lists this ribosomal RNA (459 nucleotides) under uncultured bacterium. RNAcentral's name for it is "partial 16S ribosomal RNA". It matches the Rfam family "Bacterial small subunit ribosomal RNA", at positions 338 to 795 of the family's 1533-position model. The record is from RNAcentral.
CCUACGGGCGGCAGCAGUGAGGAAUUUUGGUCAAUGGCCGAGAGGCUGAACCAGCGAAGUCGCGUGAGGGAAUACGGCCCUACGGGUUGUAAACCUCUUUUGUCGGGGAGCAAAGCGAACCACGAGUGGCUCAUUGAGAGUACCCGACGAAAAAUCAUCGGCUAACCCCGUGCCAGCAGCGGCCGUAAUACGUGGGAUGCAUGCGUUAUCUGGAUUUAUUGGGUUAAUGGGUUGCGCAGGCGGUGGUGCAAGUCAGCGGUCAAAUUGCGGGGCGCAACCCCGUACUGCAGUUGAAACUGCAGCCCUUGAGUGAGCGAGAAGUAUGCGGAAUGCGUGGUGUAGCAGUGAAAUGCAUAGAUAUCACGCAGAACUCCGAUUGCGAAGGCAGCAUACCGGCGCGCAACUGACGCUCAUGCACGAAAGCGUGGGUAUCGAACAGGAUUAGAUACCCGAGUAGUC